UAAGGAAAGAUGUAUUUUGGUUCCUCAAU
This 29-nucleotide non-coding RNA is filed under the name Mus musculus (house mouse). Lineage: Eukaryota; Metazoa; Chordata; Mammalia; Rodentia; Muridae. The record is from RNAcentral.